CCAGCGAUUAGGUCGGGAACUCAAAGGAGACUGCCAGUGAUAAACUGGAGGAAGGUGGGGAUGACGUCAAGUCAUCAUGGCCCUUACGACCAGGGCUACACACGUGCUAC
This 110-nucleotide ribosomal RNA is filed under the name Salmonella enterica subsp. enterica serovar Kentucky. RNAcentral's name for it is "partial 16S ribosomal RNA". It matches the Rfam family "Bacterial small subunit ribosomal RNA", at positions 1118 to 1228 of the family's 1533-position model. The record is from RNAcentral. Lineage: Bacteria; Pseudomonadati; Pseudomonadota; Gammaproteobacteria; Enterobacterales; Enterobacteriaceae.